Sarcoptes scabiei is the source of this 46-nucleotide non-coding RNA. NCBI's taxonomy places the organism in Eukaryota, Metazoa, Arthropoda, Arachnida, Sarcoptiformes, Sarcoptidae. The record is from Rfam.
AAAACGGUCCUUUUAAGGACCAUAAUCUUUUCGACAUUGAAAGAAU